This 479-nucleotide ribosomal RNA is filed under the name Holothuria lessoni. RNAcentral describes it as "partial 16S ribosomal RNA". It matches the Rfam family "Bacterial large subunit ribosomal RNA", at positions 1858 to 2605 of the family's 2925-position model. The record is from RNAcentral. Lineage: Eukaryota; Metazoa; Echinodermata; Holothuroidea; Aspidochirotida; Holothuriidae.
CCUGCCCAGUGGCUCAAGCUAAACGGCCGCGGUAUCUUGACCGUGCAAAGGUAGCAUAAUCAUUUGUCUUUUAAAUGGAGACUUGUAUGAAUGGCGGAACCUUCUUCAACUGUCUCCCUUUCCACUCCCCCAAAUUUCUAUUUCCGUGAAGAAGCAGAAAUAAAAGAGAAAGACGAGAAGACCCUGUCGAGCUUCAGCUUAAAGGUGAAAAACUAAACAUCACCCAAAAGCUUUGGUUGGGGCAACCAUGGAGAAAACACAUCCUCCAGAAAAAAUAGAAGAAAACCCUUCACUAUUUUUAACCUCAAAGAACCAGGAACUGGCAAUCGGAAAAAGUUACCGCAGGGAUAACAGCGUAAUCUCCUCUAAGAGUCCUUAUUGACAAGGAGGUUUGCGACCUCGAUGUUGGAUUGGGGCCCCCUUUGGGUGCAGAAGCUCUAAAGGGUUAGACUGUUCGUCUAUUAAAGCCCUACAUGAUC